RNAcentral lists this ribosomal RNA (467 nucleotides) under uncultured bacterium. RNAcentral describes it as "partial 16S ribosomal RNA". It matches the Rfam family "Bacterial small subunit ribosomal RNA", at positions 30 to 507 of the family's 1533-position model. The record is from RNAcentral.
UGAACGCUGGCGGCGUGCUUACCACAUGCAAGUCGAACGGUGAACACGGAGCUUGCUCUGUGGGAUCAGUGGCGAACGGGUGAGUAACACGUGAGCAACCUGCCCCUGACUCUGGGAUAAGCGCUGGAAACGGCGUCUAAUACUGGAUAUGUGACGUGACCGCAUGGUCUGCGUUUGGAAAGAUUUUUCGGUUGGGGAUGGGCUCGCGGCCUAUCAGCUUGUUGGUGAGGUAAUGGCUCACCAAGGCGUCGACGGGUAGCCGGCCUGAGAGGGUGACCGGCCACACUGGGAUUGAGACACGGCCCAGACUCCUACGGGAGGCAGCAGUGGGGAAUAUUGCACAAUGGGCGAAAGCCUGAUGCAGCAACGCCGCGUGAGGGAUGACGGCCUUCGGGUUGUAAACCUUUUUUAGCAGGGAAGAAGCGAAAGUGACGGUACCUGCAGAAAAAGCGCCGGCUAACUACGUG